RNAcentral lists this ribosomal RNA (468 nucleotides) under uncultured bacterium. RNAcentral describes it as "partial 16S ribosomal RNA". It matches the Rfam family "Bacterial small subunit ribosomal RNA", at positions 28 to 507 of the family's 1533-position model. The record is from RNAcentral.
GACGAACGCUGGCGGCGUGCUUAACACAUGCAAGUCGAACGGAAAGGCCCUGCUUUUGUGGGGUGCUCGAGUGGCGAACGGGUGAGUAACACGUGAGUAACCUGCCCUUGACUUUGGGAUAACUUCAGGAAACUGGGGCUAAUACCGGAUAGGAGCUCCUGCUGCAUGGUGGGGGUUGGAAAGUUUCGGCGGUUGGGGAUGUACUCGCGGCUUAUCAGCUUGUUGGGUGGGUAGUGGCUUACCAAGGCUUUGACGGGUAGCCGGCCUGAGCGGGUGGCCGGCCACAUUGGGACUGAGAUACGGCCCAGACUCCUCCGGGAGGCAGCAGUGGGGAAUAUUGCCUAAUGGGCGGAAGCCUGAUGCAGCAACGCCGCGUGCGGGAUGUCGGCCUUCGGGUUGGAAACCGCUUUCGCCUGUGACGAAGCGUGAGUGACGGUAAUGGGUAAAGAAGCACCGGCUAACUACGUG